Molecule: long non-coding RNA, 4701 nt
Filed under: Nicotiana tabacum (common tobacco)
Lineage: Eukaryota; Viridiplantae; Streptophyta; Magnoliopsida; Solanales; Solanaceae
Description: long non-coding RNA (NTAB_LNC002900)
Source: RNAcentral
GCAGUGCUUCGAGUAAGUCUCACCAUGGGGAAGGAUUGAGCAUCAGAAUGAGAAUGGUGGAGCCCCACGAACAAUCUACUGGAAGGCCUCAUGUGAAUCUUUUUGCUUCUAGGGUUGACUUUCCUUACUUUGAAGAGGGAUAUCCCGGGUCUUGGCUGCAAAAAUGUGAAAGAUAUUUUUAUUAUAAUCACAUAGUUGAUCCACAACAGAAACUAGUAUCAGUUGUCCUCCACUUGAAUGGGAGAGAUGAAUCUUGGUACUUCUCUUAUCAACUAAGUAACAGAAUUGUUAGAUGCCCUGAUUUUGUUGAAGAAAUCUGUAGAAGUUAUAAUAAAUUUAACAGUAGUAACCUCAAGUUGCUAGAAAAAUUUAAGAGAGUAGAGCAAAGAGGAUCUGUCAAUGAGUAUUUGGAAAGAUUUGAAGAUUUAAAGGCAUGGGUAUUGAUAAAGUAUCCAACUAUUCCUGAGGAAUUUUUCUUGGGAUUUUUCAUUGAAGUUCUUAAGGAAGAGAUCAAGCAUACUAUUAAAAUUCUUGACCCUUAUUCCUUGAGCCAUGCCGUGGAGAAGGUAAGACAAAAGAAGAAUCUGAUUAAUACUAUGGCUAGAAAGAGCAGAAUGAGUGGUGUAAGAAGUAUAGGGCAGAAUCAAGGAGUCACUCCUAAUGUAGGAACCAGAAUUCCCACUAAUGGGAAGAAGGAAGGGAAUUUCAACGCCUCAAUUUUAGGAACCAGAUUAUUUGAGGCUAGGAAGGCAAGAUGAGAAUGUUACAAAUGUAGGAAAAAGUACUUCCCUGGGCAUGUUUGUAAAAAUAGACAACUUAAUUUCUUAUCUGGAGUUGCUGAACAAGAGGAUCAGGAGGUAGAGCAAGGUUUGAAAAGUGAGGAAAUGCCAGUUAAUUAUGAAGAAGAGGUGAUUAAUGAAUCAAUCAGCCUCAAUGUAUUAUCUGGGACUAUCACAUCUACCACCAUUAAGUUGAAGGGAGUAUAUGGAAAGAAAAUGUUUCAUCCUAGCUGACAGUGGUAGCACUAAUAUGUUUAUAACAAAUAAGACUGCCAAUAACUAGGUUGUGUAAUUCAGGAGGAUGCCCCUAUGAGAGUAAGCAGUUGCAAAUGGUGGGCACUUGAUGUGCUAUCAUUCAUGUCCUCAAUUUAAAUGAAAGACUCAUGGAAUUGAGUUUGAACACAAACUAAGACUACUAGAUAUUGGAGGGUGUGAUGUGGUCCUUGGAGUGGAUUGGAUGAGAAAACACAAUCCAAUCUUGUUUGACUUCAUUGAGUACAGAUUAUAAGUGAGUGUGAAGGGUAAAAGAGUUGACUUAAAAGGGUAUUCUGAGGAAGGAGAAUUUCAAAGCAUGACAACCGGUGGAGUUAAAAACUUAAUUAAAAAGGGGAAGGUUUUGUGGGCACACUUGUUCACAAUAAUUGCUAAUGCAGUAGAAGAUCAAGAAGGAAUACCUGUCCAAAUCCAAGAGGUUCUAAAGGAGUUCCCAUGUGUAUUUGCUGAGCCAAAAUCACUGCCUCCAAGGAGAAAUCGUGAUCACUUCAUUCCCCUGAAACCAAAUGCAGCUCCUGUCAGCAUAGGACCAUACAGGUACAACUACUUUCAGGAGAAUGAAAUAGAAAAGCAAGUAAAUGAAAUGCUUAACAAUGGCACUAUUCAACCCAAUCAUUCCCCAUUUUCUUCCCCUGUGUUAUUAGUUAAAAAGAAAUAUGGGAGUUGGAGGAUUUGUAUUGAUUAUAGGGAGUUAAAUAAAAUGACAAUCAAGGAUAAAUUCUCAAUUCCUUUGGUUGAUGAUCUAAUGGAUGAACUUAAUGGGUCUUGCAUAUAUUCAAAGAUUGAUUUAAGGGCUAGUUAUCAUCAAAUUAGAAUAUGGGAUGCUGACAUCUACAAAACUGCAUUUACGACUCAUUUGGGCCAUUAUGAAUUUAGAGCCAUACCCUUUGGGUUGACAAAUGCUCCAGCUACUUUUCAAAGCUUAAUGAAUCAUGUUUUCAAACCUUUUUUGAGGAAAUUUGUGCUUAUUUUCAUUGAUGACAUACUAGUCUACAGUUCAUCAAUAGGCAGUCAUGUUGACCAUCUCAGACAAGUAUUGAGUGUGUUAAAGAAAGAGCAACUCUAUGCCAAACUAUACACAUGUGCAUUUGGACAAGAUAGAGUGGAGUACUUUGGCCAUAUUAUCUUUGGCAAAGGGGUAGCUACUGACCCAACCAAGAUUGAGUCUAUGGUUAACUGGCCUGUGUCAGAUCAGUCUAGGUUCUUAAGGGAUUUUUGGGGCUCACUGGUUACUAUAGGAGGUUUGUGAAAUCUUAUGGAGUCAUCAGUAGGCCCCUAACCAACUUACUCAAAAAGAAUUCAUUCCAAUGGAAUAAUAGCAGCUGAAGACAGUCAUGUCUACAGCACCAAUAUUAGCCUUUUAAUGCAAGAAGGGAUACCUAUAGCUUACAUUAGCAAGGCACUAUCAUUAAAAAAUAAGGGUUUAUCUACAUAUGAGAAAGAGUAUUUAGAUGUCCUAAUUACAGUAGAAAAGUGGAGGCAUUACUCGUAAGAAGGCCACUUUAUUGUAAGAACAGACUAUCAAAGCCUGAAGUACCUUUUAGGGCAAGAAGGUAACCAUAGUUAUUCAACAGAAAGGCAUUACUAAACUUCUGGGAUUGGAUUAUGAGGUACAAUAUAAAAAGGGAACUUAAAAUAGGGCAGUUGAUACCCUUUCUAGGAGAAUGGAAGAAGGUGGAGAGUGUACACUACUAGCAAUUUUUUCCACACAGGCUACCUAGUUACAAAAGGUAUGUCUCAGCUAUGAAGAGGAUCGUGCAGCUUCUCAACUACUAGGAGCACUGACAAUUACUCCUACCAGCCUACAGGAUUAUUCCUUAACCCAAGGGGUGAUCAGGUUUGAAUAGAAGAUCUAUGUGGGAAAAGGGAAUGAACUCGGACAAAAAAUUUGGAAAGAAUUGCACCAAUCACCAGUUGGGGGCCACUCAGGCCAACAUGGCACAUACAAAAAAGUGAAGUCCAUCUUUUAUUGGUCCAACAUAAAGACAGACAUUUUUAGAAAAGUGAGUGAAUGUAAUGUAUGUCAAAGGGUGAAGAUAGAAUAAGUGCAUUCUCCAGGCCUACUACAACCCCUCCCAAUACCUGAACAAGCUUGGCAAGAUAUAUCACUAGAUUUUGUGGAAGGUUACCUUUCUUUGGGCAGAAGAGUGCCAUAUUAGUAGUGGUGGACAGGUUCACUAAAUAUGGGCACUUCCUAGAACUUAAACACCCUUUCACAGCUCAAGAUAUGACAUACCUAUUCCUUAAGAAAAUUUACAGGUUACAUGGGCUUCCUAGAACUAUAGUAUCCCAUAGAGAUGUCAUUUUCACCAGUCACUUCUGGCAGCACCUCUUCAAAACUGUGGGAACUAAACUCAAUAUGAGUUCAACAUUUCACCUACAGUCAGAUGGAUAGACAGAAAGGCUUAAUAGAUGUAUGAAGACUUAUCUUAGAGUCAUGGUCUUUGAUAAGCCUAAGCAAUGGACUAAAUGGUUACACUUAGUAGAAUGGUGGUACAAUACAAAUUACCACACUUCCGUUAAAACUACAUUAUUUGAAGCCUUGUAUGGCUAUCUACCAGUCCAAUUACCACUGGGGUCCCUAGCUAACCCAAACCAGAACUCAGCAGGAGUGUGCCUAGCUCAAAGGCAACGGGUGCUUCAGACACUCAAAGAAAAUCUCACUCAAGCUCAGUCAAGAAUGAAGUUCUACGCAGAUCGACUAAGGACUGAACAUAUUUUAGAAGUCAGAGACCAAGUCUACCUCAAACUUCAACUCUAUUAACAGUCUCCAUUGAUGUACGGAAAAAUGUUAAGCUAUGUGAACGCUACUAUGGCCCUUAUAAAUUUUUACAGAAGAUCGUAACAGUGGCUUACUAUUUAGAACUUUCGACGGGUUCCCAGUUGCAUCCAGUCUUUCAUGUGUCCUAGUUGAAGAAACGAGUGAGUGUUUCCGUAGUUCCUCAGUAGCAACCUCCAAUAUGUGAUGCAGAAGGUAGAGUGUUGAUUCAGCCUUUGGCGAUAUUACAACGACAAAUGGUUAAAUUUAACAAUAGGGUAUCAGUGAAGGUGUUGAUUCAAUGGGCUAAUUUGGGAAAGGAAGAUGCUUUUUGGGAAGAUUAGGGUUAUAUCAAGAGUAUUCCGGAAUUUGUGGCUCAACAACAACCUUGAGGACAAGGUUGUUCUUGAAGAGGUGGGGAGUGUUAUGUUCGAGGAAGCUUAGGGUUAAAUUAGGAAAGUGUCGGUGACUGAAGACUCUCUUAGUUGUAGAUAUUAGAGAGACUAUUAAGCUAUAUCAUAUUGGGUCUUAGUAAUAAGAAGGAGAAUAGGCCAGAAUAAAGGAGAGAGUAGAGGCCCACGUAAAUAGCUUCAUCAGCCCACUCAAACAGUAAUCAAUAAAUAGAAGAAUCUUGAAUGAAGCAUGGCAUGCAAAAUCUGGUAAAUUCUGUUACAACUCCUAAUCACUUUUCUCUCAAUUCUUCUCUCCCAAUUCUCUCUCUCUCUCUAACGACCUUUCUAACUCCUAUCUCUCUUCUUCUUCUUUCAGGUUAACAUGGAGGAUUAGUUAGAAUCAAUAUUGUAGCCAAUUCUAUUAGCCAUUAAUCAAUAAAAAUCCUCAUUUCUUACUGUUUUUCCUUAAUUCAUUUCUGUCAUUUUCAGUACAUUACAG